CCUACGCGAGGCAGCAGUGGGGGAUAUUGCACAAUGGGGGGAACCCUGAUGCAGCGACGCCGCGUGGGUGAAGGAGUGCUUCUGCAUGUAAAGCCCUAUCGGCAGGGAAGAAGCAAGACGGUACCUGACUAAGACGCCCCGGCUAACUACGUGCCAGCAGCCGCGGUCAUACGUAGGGGGCGAGCGUUAUCCGGAUUCACUGGGUGUAAAGGGAGCGUAGACGGCCAGGAAAGCCAGGGGUGAAAGCCCGGGGCCCAACCCCGGGACUGCCCUUGGAACUGCAUGGCUGGAGUGCGGGAGGGGCAGGCGGAAGUCCUGGUGUAGCGGUGAAAUGCGUAGAUAUCAGGAGGAACACCGGCGGAGAAGGCGGCCUGCUGGACCGCGACUGACGUUGAGGCUCGAAAGCGUGGGGAGCGAACAGGAUUAGAUACCCUAGUAGUC
This 441-nucleotide ribosomal RNA is filed under the name uncultured bacterium. RNAcentral's name for it is "partial 16S ribosomal RNA". It matches the Rfam family "Bacterial small subunit ribosomal RNA", at positions 338 to 795 of the family's 1533-position model. The record is from RNAcentral.